RNAcentral lists this ribosomal RNA (492 nucleotides) under uncultured bacterium. Its description in RNAcentral is "partial 16S ribosomal RNA". It matches the Rfam family "Bacterial small subunit ribosomal RNA", at positions 29 to 507 of the family's 1533-position model. The record is from RNAcentral.
AGUGAACGCUGGCGGUAGGCCUAACACAUGCGAGUCGAACGGCAGCACAGUAAGAGCUUGCUCUUACGGGUGGCGAGUGGCGGACGGGUGAGGAAUACAUCGGAAUCUACUUUUUCGUGGGGGAUAACGUAGGGAAACUUACGCUAAUACCGCAUACGACCUACGGGUGAAAGCAGGGGAUCUUCGGACCUUGCGCGAUUGAAUGAGCCGAUGUCGGAUUAGCUAGUUGGCGGGGUAAAGGCCCACCAAGGCGACGAUCCGUAGCUGGUCUGAGAGGAUGAUCAGCCACACUGGAACUGAGACACGGUCCAGACUCCUACGGGAGGCAGCAGUGGGGAACAUUGGACAAUGGGCGCAAGCCUGAUCCAGCCAUACCGCGUGGGUGAAGAAGGCCUUCGGGUUGUAAAGCCCUUUUGUUGGGAAAGAAAAGCAGCAGGUUAAUACCCCGCUGUUCUGACGGUACCCAAAGAAUAAGCACCGGCUAACUUCGUG